Molecule: unclassified non-coding RNA, 195 nt
Filed under: plant metagenome
Description: partial contains small subunit ribosomal RNA, internal transcribed spacer 1, and 5.8S ribosomal RNA
Source: RNAcentral
UCUCCGUUGGUGAACCAGCGGAGGGAUCAUUACCGAGUUUACAACUCCCAAACCCCUGUGAACAUACCAUUUGUUGCCUCGGCGGUGCCUGCUUCGGCAGCCCGCCAGAGGACCCAAACCCUUGAUUUUAUACAGUGUCUUCUGAGUAAAUGAUUAAAUAAAUCAAAACUUUCAACAACGGAUCUCUUGGUUCUG